GAAAAAGCCCUAUUUAGGGCUACAGAAAAUUAUGUUUUCAAAUUUAU
Molecule: non-coding RNA, 47 nt
Organism: Picea glauca (white spruce)
Lineage: Eukaryota; Viridiplantae; Streptophyta; Pinopsida; Pinales; Pinaceae
Source: Rfam